RNAcentral lists this ribosomal RNA (464 nucleotides) under uncultured bacterium. RNAcentral's name for it is "partial 16S ribosomal RNA". It matches the Rfam family "Bacterial small subunit ribosomal RNA", at positions 339 to 795 of the family's 1533-position model. The record is from RNAcentral.
CUACGGGUCGCUGCAGUGGGGAAUUUUGGACAAUGGGGGCAACCCUGAUCCAGCCAUGCCGCGUGAGUGAAGAAGGCCUUCGGGUUGUAAAGCUCUUUCAGCCGGGAAGAAAUCGCAUGGGUCAAUACCCUGUGCGGAUGACGGUACCGGAAUAAGAAGCACCGGCUAACUACGUGCCAGCAGCCGCGGUAAUACGUAGGGUGCGAGCGUUAAUCGGAAUUACUGGGCGUAAAGCGUGCGCAGGCGGAUGCUUAAGUCAGAUGUGAAAUCCCCGGGCUUAACCUGGGAAUUGCAUUUGAAACUGGGUGUCUGGAGUGCGUCAGAGGGGGGUGGAAUUCCACGUGUAGCAGUGAAAUGCGUAGAUAUGUGGAGGAACACCAAUGGCGAAGGCAGCCCCCUGGGAUGACACUGACGCUCAUGCACGAAAGCGUGGGGAGCAAACAGGAUUAGAUACCCUCGUAGUC